GUCUCUCCCGUCAGGAGGAGUGGUCUUGUUGGAGGAAUAAAUAUCAUUAUUUGGAUAUAGCAUCAGUGUACUUGAGGGGAGGGUGACUAUUGUUCCAAUGCAUGUGGCAAGUUCUGCGAUCUCAAGCCACAUAUCAGUGUCAGCAAAUCUCUUACAGAGGGUGACAAAGGAAAAAAACAUAAUUAUCUUACGUUGCGUUGAAAACUACAAAGUACAAACAAAGUUAGGAGAUCUCGCCUUGUUGUAGCAUUGCUGUAGCCCUUCGGUUGUUGUUUAAAGACCGAUUUCAUCAGGAAAUGCAUCAAAUUAAUGAGUUUGAUUUGUCCGACAUAAUAACGUCUUUAAUUUGUCUUCCAUGUUUUCUGGU
This 367-nucleotide long non-coding RNA is filed under the name Populus trichocarpa (black cottonwood). RNAcentral's name for it is "long non-coding RNA (PTRI_LNC000277)". Lineage: Eukaryota; Viridiplantae; Streptophyta; Magnoliopsida; Malpighiales; Salicaceae. The record is from RNAcentral.